ACGAGUGGCGGACGGGUGAGUAAUGUCUGGGAAACUGCCCGAUGGAGGGGGAUAACUACUGGAAACGGUAGCUAAUACCGCAUAACGUCGCAAGACCAAAGAGGGGGACCUUAGGGCCCCUUGCCAUCGGAUGUGCCCAGAUGGGAUUAGCUAGUAGGUGGGGUAACGGCUCACCUAGGCGACGAUCCCUAGCUGGUCUGAGAGGAUGACCAGCCACACUGGAACUGAGACACGGUCCAG
RNAcentral lists this ribosomal RNA (240 nucleotides) under uncultured bacterium. RNAcentral's name for it is "partial 16S ribosomal RNA". It matches the Rfam family "Bacterial small subunit ribosomal RNA", at positions 91 to 334 of the family's 1533-position model. The record is from RNAcentral.